GUGGGGGAUAUUGCACAAUGGGGGAAACCCUGAUGCAGCGACGCCGCGUGAGGGAAGACGGUCCUCUGGAUUGUAAACCUCUGUCGGAAGGGACGAUCGUGACGGUACCUUCCGAGGAAGCUCCGGCUAACUACGUGCCAGCAGCCGCGGUAAUACGUAGGGAGCGAGCGUUGUCCGGAAUUACUGGGUGUAAAGGGAGCGUAGGCGGGAUCGCAAGUUGGAUGUCUAAUCUAUCGGCUCAACCGGUAUUCGCAUUCAAAACUGUGAUUCUUGAGUGAAGUAGAGGCAGGCGGAAUUCCUAGUGUAGCGGUGAAAUGCGUAGAUAUUAGGAGGAACACCAGUGGCGAAGGCGGCCUGCUGGGCUUUUACUGACGCUGAGGCUCGAAAGUGUGGGGAGCAAACAGGA
RNAcentral lists this ribosomal RNA (406 nucleotides) under uncultured bacterium. RNAcentral describes it as "bacterial SSU rRNA". It matches the Rfam family "Bacterial small subunit ribosomal RNA", at positions 354 to 777 of the family's 1533-position model. The record is from RNAcentral.